UGGGGUGUAGCUCAGGGGUAGAGCAUGUGCUUAACAUGUGUGAGGCCCUGGGUUUGAUCCCCAGCACCACAA
Molecule: transfer RNA, 72 nt
Filed under: Marmota marmota marmota (Alpine marmot)
Lineage: Eukaryota; Metazoa; Chordata; Mammalia; Rodentia; Sciuridae
Also listed under: 1 other name
Rfam family: tRNA
About the family: Transfer RNA (tRNA) molecules are approximately 80 nucleotides in length.
Source: Rfam by way of RNAcentral